CAGUCGCCACGGUAAUACGUAGGGUGCAAGCGUUAAUCGGAAUUACUGGGCGUAAAGCGUGCGCAGGCGGUUCUAUAAGACAGAUGUGAAAUCCCCGGGCUCAACCUGGGAACUGUAUUUGUGACUGUAGAGCUGGAGUGCGGCAGAGGGGGAUGGAAUUCCGCGUGUAGCAGUGAAAUGCGUAGAUAUGCGGAGGAACACCGAUGGCGAAGGCAAUCCCCUGGGCCUGCACUGACGCUCAUGCACGAAAGCGUGGGGAGCAAACAGGAUUAGAUACCCCGGUAGUCCCUGUCUCUUAUAC
RNAcentral lists this ribosomal RNA (301 nucleotides) under uncultured bacterium. Its description in RNAcentral is "partial 16S ribosomal RNA". It matches the Rfam family "Bacterial small subunit ribosomal RNA", at positions 509 to 807 of the family's 1533-position model. The record is from RNAcentral.